CUUUUUGGUUUAUCCAGCAGGAGUAAAGCCUACCUCGGAAAUCUGAGGGUGGCCGCGAACCCAAAAGUCCAGAUUCGCAGGUGCGCGCGCUAAGGACUGAGCUAUUGGGGCGAUGGAAAGAGUCUCUCUCUGCGCCAAGGGCGGAAGGACAUGUUUAAAAAAAAAAAAAAAAAAAAAAAAAAAAAAAAAAUUAAUAGAUGGGAAGUAGAAAAAAUUAAAGCGCGGUUCGUUGGUCUAGGGGUAUGAUUCCCGCUUUGGGUGCGAGAGGUCCCUGGUUCAAAUCCCAGACGAGCCCUUUUUCCUUCUCUUUUUUCCCCUUUCGCAUUUUCAGCAAGGACGGGAGACUAGGAAGGCGAAGGGAGGCUGCUGUUGGCAGAGCCUCAGUGGGGACCUCCCGGGGUCCCGGGACGCAGACGGACGGGCCUGAAUCGCUCGCCUUGCAGUCGGUCCGUCACCCUGAAAUGGGAUCCAGCGCUGCCAACUGCGGGUUCGAGAGUAUGGCUGCUCCAGUCCCAGACUUCAGGAAACCGGAGUCUCCUCCUAGCUCUGCUCUGCUGGGUCCCCACCUCUCGCCACGAGGACGCCACGAAGGCCACAGAGAGAAGACGGAGUCAGCAGAGUAUGUGGCUCGUUGGUCUAGGGGUAUGAUUCUCGCUUAGGAUGCGAGAGGUCACGGGUUCCAAUCCCGGCCGACCCCAAGUUUUGGUCCAAAACAUCGGUUUCUACCCUUUCCUACUUUAGAUGAAGAUCAGAGAUCCAAACAACUCUGACAGGUCAGCGCAGUCCGAGUCCUUCGAUGUUAGUUUGUUUGUUUGCUUGUUUUGAGAGGGUGUCUCUGUGGACCCAGCUGAAGCGCAGUGGUGUGAUCUCACCUCACUGCAACCUCCUCCUCCUGGGUUCAAGCAAUUCUCCUGCCUCAGUCUCCCAGGUAGCUGGGACUACAGGCACGUGCCACCAUGCCUGGCUAAUUUUGUGUGUGUGUGUGUGUGUGUGUGUGUGUGUGUGUGUGUGUGUUUUGUUUUGUUUUGUUUUGUUUUUUAAGUAGAGACAGGGUUUCUCCGUGUUGGCCAGGCUGGUCUCCAACUCCUUACCUCAGGUGAUCAGCCCGCCUGGGCCUCCCAAAGUGCUAGGAUUACAGGCAUGACUCACCGCGCCCAGACUUCGAAGAUAAUUUGUACAAAGAUCCAAAGCUGUCUGACAGCACCCAGUGCCACAUUUAAAAUUUAUUUGGAGUUUUGUCGCCAGUGUCGCCAGAGCCCUAUCCCCUGAUAAGCUUAUUUUGUUUUCUGCUUUUUUAUUUUUAUUUUUUGUGACACUACUUUUGUCAGUAGGAACUCACUCGAGGCACUGAAGAAGAGGUAAGCUGUCCCUAUAUACAGUAAGAGCGAGUCUUCACAGUCAGAUACCUUAAAAGCUCUACCCUGGGAUUCCCACCCAGUGUCCCUGGCUCCGGCGGCUAGAGCCUUAACGGGAGAAAGCCGGGCACUUGAGCAGAGGAAAAGGGCUAUGGGCGUUUGCAUCUGGGGUCCAGAGUCCUCUCCCUCCCCACAUCCCGACACUCCUCACCUGCGUGUAGCCUUCUGGGGCUCCUCUGCUCCCCCAUCCUAGUUCUGGAAGGAGUGCAGACCGAACCCAGGAGCCUGGGUAUCCGCGUCCUGAGUCCUAGCGCCCACCAGGACUGGAGCCUCCUCGCAUCUACUCUGAGGACAAAAUCCACUGGCAGAAUCUUCGUUUUUGUUUGGGAUGCUGGGUUUGAGAACACGCCAUGAACCAAGAGUCGUAAAUAAUCCAAUUUUGAGCACUUGAGAACCAAGUGGAAAGAAACUCAAGACGAUUCAAAGUGACCAAUCUCUGGUUAUGCCCUUGAGCCCCUGCAGAAGCAAAGAAUAAUUUGUGUGUGCGUGUGGACAAAUACAUUUGUAUUCCAGAUCUCACAGAAAUUCCUACACCAAGAAAUUUACAAGGAAAAUGAACACUGCGCCCUAAAAAUUAACAAGGAAACAAGGUACCAGGAGCAACAACUCCUUAACAGGAACAGAAACUAAAUUGCAAACAUUUCAGAUGCAAAGUGUAUCAGACUCAUAAUACAACUAUUCCUGCAGUGUCUAAAAAUAUGAAAGGCAAUAAAGAAAAUAUCUUUGACAACAGGACCUCCAGCCUUCUAGACUGAAAAAAGAACCAAAUAGUUCUAGAUAUAAAAGCACACAGUAAUGGAAACGGAACAACUAAAUGCACAUCACGGUAGGUUACAGUGCGGAGCAGUAUUGCGAGGGCUUCUGUGAGUCCCAGUGAGCUCUGGGCAUUCUGUCUGCAACUGCAAGGAUGGCCGAUACACAGCAGAACUCUCCUGUGCCUGUAACUCGAGUGGCCUCAAAAAAAAAAAAAAAAAAAAAAAAAGGGUUGUCAUUGACUCUUUAAGUGCGUGCAGUCGCAGUCUGGGGACAUUUUUUCUCUUUCUGAAAGAAGGCCAUUUCAGCGGAGGGCACAGAUUGGGAGAACACAGAUUCAUGCCAGCGUGGUGCGGAAGGAGACUCUGGCGGGUCACCCCCAUUUAUGGGAGAACGCAGGGUGGUGAAGGAAGUCCUGCAUUAGCGGCGACGUCGGUGGGGACUGAGGCUGCUGUGGGGGACCCCAAGUGCGCUCUGGUUUCGGGGGAUGAUUCAUUACCUCACUUUGUUUUCACCACCCUUAGGCCACCCAGUCCAUUUGUAGGUAUAGAAAGAAGUCUAUAAGGAAGCCCGGCUAGCUCAGUCGGUAGAGCAUGAGACUCUUAAUCUCAGGGUCGUGGGUUCGAGCCCCACGUUGGGCGUAUGUUUUGAUUCUGGCUGUCUCUCCCAGAAUCUACCCUCUAUCUGUGGAGGUAGAGGCCCCUGACAGAUGCAGACUUGCUGGUACCUUUUAGAUGUACCCCAAGGGUACGUCUUUUCCUCCCAGCUCUCUGCCCCUGGCAAUGCAAGACUUGGUGAAAGAAGAAACUCAGGCCGGCGCGGUGGCUCAAGCUGUAUUCCCAGCCACUUUGGAGGCCGAGACGGGCGGAUCACGAGGUCAGGAGAUCAAGACCAUCCUGGCUAACACGGUGAACCCCGUCUCUACUAAAAAUACAAAAAAAAAAAAAAAACUAGCCAGGCGAGGUGGCGGGCCCCUGUAGUCCCAGCUGCUCAGGAGGCUGAGGCAGGAGCUUACAGUGAGCUGAGAUCUGGCCCACUGCACUCCAGUCUGGGCGACAGAGCAAGACUCCGUCUCUCAAAAAAAAAAAAAAAAAAAUUUAGCAGGCUUGGUGGUGCCCCCUAUACUCCCAGUUACUUAGGAAGCUCGAGAAGAAAUCCCUUGAAUGUGAGGCACAGU
Macaca nemestrina (pig-tailed macaque) is the source of this 3345-nucleotide long non-coding RNA. Lineage: Eukaryota; Metazoa; Chordata; Mammalia; Primates; Cercopithecidae. The record is from Ensembl.